RNAcentral lists this long non-coding RNA (850 nucleotides) under Phascolarctos cinereus (koala). RNAcentral describes it as "lncRNA (ENSPCIG00000013496.2)". Lineage: Eukaryota; Metazoa; Chordata; Mammalia; Diprotodontia; Phascolarctidae. The record is from RNAcentral.
AAAAAUGCAGUGAGAUAGUGAAAAUGUAGGAUUGGAAAAUUGACGGGUUUUUUAAAUCUAUGACCAUAAAUUUAGAGCUGAAAAAGAUAUUAAAGGCCAUCUAACUCAACUUCCUCAUUUUACCAAUUAGGAAUUCGAGGCCCAGAAAAGGGAGAUGGUUUCUUGAAGGCCAUCUUCACCAGUUCUAAUGGUACCAGGGCAUCUGCUAGGGCAAUUCAUUACACAGAGGGGGUCAAAGGACUGCAAGCAAAUGACACGAUCACCACCAGUCGUGAUUCAGAGAGAUAAUAAUGGAGGAGAGAAGAGCCCGGCAUGCUGUGGUCCAUGGAAUCACAAAGAGCUGGACAUGAUUGAACAACAAAACAACAACAAAAAUCCCCAGAGCCUGGUACAGAGCUUGGUACAUAGUAGGCACUUAUUACAUGCUUAUUGAUUGACUGAUUCACAGGGCCAACAGAGAUCUGAUUAAACAUUUUAAUCAAUGACUUAGAUAAAAAGCAUAAAUGUCCUGCUUAUCAAAUUCGUGUAUAUUGUGGUGUGGAUCUGUGGUCUGAUUGAGGAAGGGAACUCCCAGUGUGGAAACCCCCUCUAAUAAUCCAUAUUGGCAGCCAUUCUGUAAGUUGCAAUGUUAGAGAGUUACCUAGGGCACUGAGAGGUUAAAUAGCAUUACCAUGAGAAUGCUAUUUAACCUCUCAGUGUGUCUCAGAAGUAGAGUUUGAAACCAGGUCUCUCUGAGAGGUAUCUGGCUAAUUAGCUAUGCAAUCUGUUGACGCUCCAUGUUGACAAUCCAUGUCACUCUAACACACAAUUUUAAUGUAUACUGUUAAAAAAAUAAAAUAAAAAAUUAGCA